CNAGUUACGAUUCGCCCUUAGAGUUUGAUCAUGGCUCAGGAUGAACGCUAGCGGCAGGCUUAACACAUGCAAGUCGAGGGGCAGCAUGUCCAGCAAUGGAUGAUGGCGACCGGCGGAAGGGUGCGUAACGCGUGAGCAACAUGCCCUAUACAGGGAGAUACACCAGGGAAACUUGGUCUAAUAUCCCAUAGCAUUCAUUGAAGGCAUCUUUAAUGAAUUAAAGCUUCGGUGGUAUAGGAUUGGCUCGCGUGACAUUAGCCAGAUGGUGAGGUAACGGCUCACCAUAGCAAUGAUGUCUAGGGGUUUUGAGAGGAAGGCCCCCCACACUGGGACUGAGACACGGCCCAGACUCCUACGGGAGGCAGCAGUGAGGAAUAUUGGACAAUGGAUGGAAAUCUGAUCCAGCCAUGCCGCGUGCAGGAAGACGGCCUUAUGGGUUGUAAACUGCUUUUAUACGGGAGCAAUAAGGGUUACGAGUAAUCCGAUGAGAGUACUGUAUGAAUAAGGAUCGGCUAACUCCGUGCCAGCAGCCGCGGUAAUACGGAGGAUCCGAGCGUUAUCCGGAAUUAUUGGGUUUAAAGGGUGCGUAGGCGGCCAUUUAAGUCAGCGGUGAAAUUUUGCAGCUUAACUGUAACAGUGCCGUUGAUACUGUUUGGCUAGGAUUUGGUUGUAGUGUGCGGAAUGUGUGGUGUAGCGGUGAAAUGCUUAGAUAUCACACAGAACACCGAUUGCGAAGGCAGCACACUAAGUCAUUAUUGACGCUGAGGCACGAAAGUGUGGGGAUCAAACAGGAUUAGAUACCCUGGUAGUCCACACUGUAAACGAUGAUAACUCGCUA
Molecule: ribosomal RNA, 838 nt
Filed under: uncultured bacterium
Lineage: Bacteria
Description: bacterial SSU rRNA
Rfam family: Bacterial small subunit ribosomal RNA
Source: RNAcentral